UAUAUACUAGUGUAAAGCACGAGAAAUUUUGAUUUUUUAGGUUUAGGUGAAAAUCCUUUGUAUAUAU
Molecule: transfer RNA, 67 nt
Filed under: Petrolisthes haswelli
Lineage: Eukaryota; Metazoa; Arthropoda; Malacostraca; Decapoda; Porcellanidae
Description: tRNA-Gln
Rfam family: tRNA
About the family: Transfer RNA (tRNA) molecules are approximately 80 nucleotides in length. Their secondary structure includes four short double-helical elements and three loops (D, anti-codon, and T loops). Further hydrogen bonds mediate the characteristic L-shaped molecular structure. tRNAs have two regions of fundamental functional importance: the anti-codon, which is responsible for specific mRNA codon recognition, and the 3' end, to which the tRNAs corresponding amino acid is attached (by aminoacyl-tRNA synthetases). tRNAs cope with the degeneracy of the genetic code in two manners: having more than one tRNA (with a specific anti-codon) for a particular amino acid; and 'wobble' base-pairing, i.e. permitting non-standard base-pairing at the 3rd anti-codon position.
Source: RNAcentral